AAAAGUUCUCGAUCGACCUCUUAUCAUAUUAUGUUCUCCUAAUACAAAAUCAAAAAUUGAGCGAAAAGAGAAUUUUAGAGUUUUGGAUUAGAAAAAUAUAAUUUUAGAAGAAGUGACACGUUAAAAUAUAAAACGUUACAUACUUACCUUUUAUACUUACCUAUUUAAUAUGUUCAAGUUUUUUAGGAACAAAUCAUUUUUUCACCAUUUUACUUAAUACUAAUUAGAAUAUACUUACCUGUUUUAUACUUACCUUCUUUAUAUAUAUCUUUUUAAAUACCCAUAUAAACAGAAAUUAUACGUGAAAAUAAAUGAACCUCUAAAUAAAGAAUAAAUAAUAGGAUAUAGAAGCUGCAUAUGAAAACACCAAAGCAAUAUUAGAUAUGCAUAUAUGAAAACUAAUUUAUAUCAAAUAUAUAAAAUGAAUUUACGAAUUAAUUUGCAUCUGAAAUAUACUUUAUCUUAAAUUAAAUCAGAAAAAGAAAUAUAUAUUCCCAACUUAUUUAAACAAAUAUAUUAUUCCGACGAAUAAAUGAACAGACUCAUUUCUACAAAAUAUCACUUCUAUCCCGUACCUGUAUAUAUUUCUAUGUACUCUAACAUCAAAUUAAAAAAAAAUAAUCCUAAUUCCCUCCAUCGUAACCAGACAACAAUUGAUUCUCCUGUCUCAGAAGAACCCCUGUAAUUCUAUUCUCUUCCACAAUUAACCUCAAUACCUGUCCCCGUUAAAACCACAACUCCAAACCAUCCAAAAAACGUGCACACUAGCCCACCACUAUGUUGGGAAAACAGCAGGGAUACUUGCGUGGAAUCUCGGGGCAAAAAAAGGAGGACGGUGAAAUUCCACGGCGGCGGUGGAAACACGGUGGGCUUGAGCCUGAUGUUUGAAAAUUUAUCGUUCAACAUUGUGCGGGCGGGCGAAAACACAGGCGGGAAGACGACAUUGGAAGCUGCGUGCACGAGAGAGGUGAAAUUAAACGGACGUCGUCGGGAAUUGCCGGGUAAUUGAAAGCUCGGCUGCGAGAGAAGAACGGGGCGCCACGAGCCUUUGUCACCCAGACACGCGAGAGGCCGCCAACUAUGAAACCGAAGGACCAAGGAAGGUGGAGAUUAUUCCCAGUCUCAAGACUUCCCUGGUCUCCGUCUUUGUCUCCAAACUCGUUCCAAUCGAUCGUAAAAUACUGUGGGAGAUCAACUCGACGUGUAAGUUGGAGAUGGAAAUAAGACGAACUCUCGAAGAACAAUGUCCCCUCGGUGCCAUCUUGAGAGUGCCAACUUCCACGAAUUUCGCAAAUACUCAGGUGUAUCAAAACGCUGGGAAUCUGUUUCGAGAUGUCGAUUCGAAGAUACGAUAUCGAAACUGAAAAAAAUAAAAUCCUCUUCCGUUCUUUUCUUCUUUGAUUUAUACGAGGGGAAAGAAGAAAAUAUGGCGACAGUCAGCGUGAAUAUAUUGCAAGUCUUUUAACGAAAUGAUUGGAGAUAAGGCUUGGAGAUCGCCAAUCUAACGCUUUCUUUCUUUUCUUUUCUUUUUAUAAAAUUGAAAUUAUCCAAAAAUCGAUUAUUUGACGUUUACUUAAGCGAUCGAUUAAUCACAUAAUGUGAUUUGAAUCAAUCUGACGAUGUUUAUAUAUUUUAUAUUGUUAAAAAUUGUAUUGUCCUGGAAUAUUUAAACACUGCAAUUAAUUUAUUUCCUAAU
Apis cerana (Asiatic honeybee) is the source of this 1696-nucleotide long non-coding RNA. RefSeq lists it as uncharacterized. NCBI's taxonomy places the organism in Eukaryota, Metazoa, Arthropoda, Insecta, Hymenoptera, Apidae. The record is from RefSeq and is a predicted model, not a curated record.